CUUCUGCGUUUCUGUCAUGCUCUGUGGGGGCGUUGUCUUGCUGGGUAGAAUCCAGAGUGACGUCUACUUAACAAAAGAGAAAAGACAUGACAAAGGCGGUGUGAUGGCAUUUGCUGGAAACUAGACCCACUUAAAGCGCAAGGGACUACUGAAUAAUUAUUUUCCCGCGAGGAGGGGAAACAAAAAGACGACCAAUGAUUUCCAUAUGAAUUAUGAAGGCGAAGGCCCUCGGCUUAAGGGAACAAAGAGACAGCAACCACUUCAUCGCGAAACCAGAAAGCGAAGCAUGCUUUUGUUUUUUCCCCUCAAUCGUCGGUCCAACCUUUUCCCUCAUUUAUAUAUUUAUUUUGUCUUUACCCAUUAAAUUACGACUGGAAUUUUUUUUG
Long non-coding RNA from Tarenaya hassleriana, 386 nucleotides. RefSeq lists it as uncharacterized. The transcript is spliced from 3 exons. The record is from RefSeq and is a predicted model, not a curated record. Lineage: Eukaryota; Viridiplantae; Streptophyta; Magnoliopsida; Brassicales; Cleomaceae.